This is a long non-coding RNA of Passer domesticus (house sparrow), 276 nucleotides long. RefSeq lists it as uncharacterized. Lineage: Eukaryota; Metazoa; Chordata; Aves; Passeriformes; Passeridae. The transcript has 3 exons. The record is from RefSeq and is a predicted model, not a curated record.
UGAGGAUCUCCUGCAGUGCCACAGGAGCUCUUCUGUCCUGCCUUUCUUUGCAGCUGAACCUGCUGGUGAAGGUGGUGCAGCUUCCCAAGCCACAUCCAGGACUGAGGCUCUGGGAGAUGCUGAGGGUGUGUCUCCAGGGAGGACUUCUCCAGCUCCUUUGCUGAUUCCUACAGAGAAGCCUGCCUCCCAUCGCAGAGUGGAUGGUGAGGCUGUACAGAAGGCGGCAUUUCCCAAAGGAAGCACUGGCUCCAUGCCAGCCUCGGCUGCAGGAAGAGA